Molecule: ribosomal RNA, 252 nt
Filed under: uncultured bacterium
Lineage: Bacteria
Description: partial 16S ribosomal RNA
Rfam family: Bacterial small subunit ribosomal RNA
Source: RNAcentral
UACGUAGGGGGCAAGCGUUGUCCGGAAUCAUUGGGCGUAAAGAGCGUGUAGGCGGCCCGGUAAGUCCGCUGUGAAAGUCAAAGGCUCAACCUUUGAAUGUCAGCGGAUACUGCCGGGCUAGAGUCCGGAAGAGGCGAGUGGAAUUCCUGGUGUAGCGGUGGAAUGCGCAGAUAUCAGGAGGAACACCAACGGCGAAGGCAGCUCGCUAGGACGGUACUGACGCUGAGACGCGAAAGCGUGGGAGCAAACAGG